UCCGAUUGGCCAUACACUAAGCUAUUUUGUCCAGCAAUGAAAAGGUACAUGGGCCAUAGAAAUAAUAUUAGUUGGACGAGUCAACUUGUUCUUGCGUGACCAAGUAGAUUAAUAUUUUAUUCUGUAGUUUUUCUCUUCGUCAUUCUCAGUGACCACUAAGAACAUUCUUAGACAAACCAUUGGGGACCUUCACUCUAUGAUAACCACUGAUUUGCUUCAGUUGAAUCGAAGAUUAACUUAUCUUCUUUAAAGAUCAGAAAUUGUUCGCUACACAAUUAAAAGUUUGCUUAAGUUUCAUGUAAGAAACACGAAUCUCUUCAGAGAUUUCAAGAAAAGGAAAGGAUGAUCCUAAGACUAGAAGA
RNAcentral lists this long non-coding RNA (362 nucleotides) under Centruroides sculpturatus (bark scorpion). RNAcentral describes it as "uncharacterized LOC111618927, transcript variant X2". Lineage: Eukaryota; Metazoa; Arthropoda; Arachnida; Scorpiones; Buthidae. The record is from RNAcentral.